AGGACGAACGCUGGCGGCGUGCCUAACACAUGCAAGUCGAGCGAGGAGAUUCCUCGGGAUGAUCCUAGCGGCGGACGGGUGAGUAACACGUGGGCAACCUGCCUCAUAGAGAGGAAUAGCCUUCCGAAAGGGAGAUUAAUACCUCAUAACAUUGCAGUUUCGCAUGGAACAGCAAUUAAAGGAGUAAUCCGCUAUGAGAUGGGCCCGCGGCGCAUUAGCUGGUUGGUGAGGUAACGGCUCACCAAGGCGACGAUGCGUAGCCGACCUGAGAGGGUGAUCGGCCACAUUGGGACUGAGACACGGCCCAGACUCCUACGGGAGGCAGCAGUGGGGAAUAUUGCACAAUGGGGGAAACCCUGAUGCAGCCAACGCCGCGUGAGUGAUGACGGCCUUCGGGUUGUAAAGCUCUGUCUUCAGGGACGAUAAUGACGGUACCUGAGGAGGAAGCCACGGCUAACUACGUGCCAGCAGCUGC
RNAcentral lists this ribosomal RNA (475 nucleotides) under uncultured bacterium. RNAcentral's name for it is "bacterial SSU rRNA". It matches the Rfam family "Bacterial small subunit ribosomal RNA", at positions 26 to 518 of the family's 1533-position model. The record is from RNAcentral.